Non-coding RNA from Epithele typhae, 117 nucleotides. Lineage: Eukaryota; Fungi; Basidiomycota; Agaricomycetes; Polyporales; Epitheliaceae. The record is from the annotation of a RefSeq genome assembly.
GCCGCUAUAGUGUAUGGUUUAUCACUUGGGAUUUUGAUAGAGUCGAGGAGCCUCGGUUCUGCGAGGCGCCCCGACUCCCUCAUUCCCAAGACCCAGGUUCGAACCCUGGUAGCGGCU